AUGACUGUUUGGAAAGAGGAAAGAGGCCAGCCUGUGGGUGUGAGCAGCUUGGAAGUGUCUCUGUCUCUUUGCUGCUCUCUCCUUCCCCAUUCACACUCUACAACACAUCUCUUCCAGCUCCACCAGCCUUCUCCUCAGUUUGACCUGAGAGAUCCGUACAGUCGCAAUCUGUGCACAGAGUACAACAGCCUGCAUGACCCGCAUCUGCGGGAGUUCCACAACGACAAAAACAACCUGCGGAACUGGAAGAAACGGGCUUGGUCACCGAGGAUGGCGACGUUGUCUGCACUCUGAAGGAGUUCAACGAGUACAGGCAGUACCUGACCAGGCUGAAGCUGGAGAAAAAGCAAGCAAAGAGGAGAAGAGGUAGGCAAAGCCCAGUAUUGGUAGGCACGUGUCAGCAGCAUGGCACUGAGGGCACGGGCUUUACUUGAUGGAUCUGAGGAGAUGGGAAAGCAGAAAAGUGAGGCGGGGCUGGUGGUCUAGGCAUUGAGGCAUGGAAAGGACAGCUCAGCUCAGAGCUGAGCUAGCACAGCGUGCUGGUGUGAAGGCAGCCUGGAAAGUUGCUUGCUUAACAAACAGAGCACUGUGGCAGCCGUUCUCUUCUGCCCUCAUUGCAAGGCUGAAGCAUGUGCUUGCCCUCUUCUGCGUUAAAGCAGCAGUACUUAGGGUGGGAAGCACUCUCUAAGACAAGACAAGCAUAAACCCUCUGUUCCUUCCAGGAUGAGCUUCUUCGGGAGAUUUCCAAUUUGAAGAAAUCGAUCCACAGACUACAGAUGGCCAGACAAGUUCCAGCCCGGUCCCGUGGAUUACAUUGCGGGUUCGAAAAUCAGACCCACCAAUUCUUCAUAAACCAGCUGGCCCCUCUCCUUCAUGCUAUAAUCUUCUGUCUGGCAAUGCAGAAGGAAUUGGCUUUGAGUGAGCGUGGCCUUCAGGGAGACUCAUGGAGCACAGGGCGGCAAUGAAGCUCCCUGAGAAGUCACCCAAACCUGCGUUGGGCAGGGAAGGCUCCAAACUCCCCAGAAGCAUCCGUACUGCUUCUGCCUCAACAACAAACUCCGGAGUCCCCAGAAGCAUCCAUACUGCUUCUGCCCCAACAACAACUCCGGAGUCCCCAGAAGCAUCCAGACUGCUUCUGCCUCAGCAACAAAACUCCAAACUCCCAGAAGCAUCGUACUGCUUCUGACCAAAAACAAACUCCAGAGUCCCUAGAAAGCAUCCAGGCCCCGUGAAGGGAAAAGGAAAAAAAGGGGAAAACAAGUAGGAGAUUGGCCAAAAAACAAAACAGUGGCAACAAAUUAGUUUUAAUUGGCUUAAUUAAUUUAAUUUGUUUAAUUCUUUUUAAUUUGUUUAAUUAAUUGACCAAAGAUGAUACCAGAAUGCAAGAUAACACACUACAGUACAAUAUAUCAUAAUUAGUAUCAGAAUUAGAAUUAAAACCAAUUAAAACCAAUAAAAAAAAUAAAAUUAGAAAGUGUGUCUGCA
Molecule: long non-coding RNA, 1485 nt
Filed under: Coturnix japonica (Japanese quail)
Lineage: Eukaryota; Metazoa; Chordata; Aves; Galliformes; Phasianidae
Description: lncRNA (ENSCJPG00005006903.1)
Source: RNAcentral